Molecule: ribosomal RNA, 484 nt
Filed under: uncultured bacterium
Lineage: Bacteria
Description: partial 16S ribosomal RNA
Rfam family: Bacterial small subunit ribosomal RNA
Source: RNAcentral
AUUGAACGCUGGCGGCAGGCCUAACACAUGCAAGUCGAGCGGAUGAAGGGAGCUUGCUCCUGGAUUCAGCGGCGGACGGGUGAGUAAUGCCUAGGAAUCUGCCUGGUAGUGGGGGAUAACGUCCGGAAACGGGCGCUAAUACCGCAUACGUCCUGAGGGAGAAAGUGGGGGAUCUUCGGACCUCACGCUAUCAGAUGAGCCUAGGUCGGAUUAGCUAGUUGGUGGGGUAAAGGCCUACCAAGGCGACGAUCCGUAACUGGUCUGAGAGGAUGAUCAGUCAAACGGGAAUUGGGACACGGUCCAGACUCCUACGGGAGGCAGCAGUGGGGAAUAUUGGACAAUGGGCGAAAGCCUGAUCCAGCCAUGCCGCGUGUGUGAAGAAGGUCUUCGGAUUGUAAAGCACUUUAAGUUGGGAGGAAGGGCAGUAAGUUAAUACCUUGCUGUUUUGACGUUACCAACAGAAUAAGCACCGGCUAGCUUCGUG